This 3616-nucleotide unclassified non-coding RNA is filed under the name Neodiprion lecontei (redheaded pine sawfly). RNAcentral's name for it is "serine/threonine-protein phosphatase 2B catalytic subunit 2, transcript variant X5". The record is from RNAcentral. Lineage: Eukaryota; Metazoa; Arthropoda; Insecta; Hymenoptera; Diprionidae.
GGUACGUUUCGUGUAAAGAUCUUUUGACGUUUCGACGUUCCGGUGUCGGGAAAAAUUUUCGCUACCUGCACCUGAGAUUCCUGUUUUCGCAGAGAGAGAGAGAGAGAGAGAGCAGAAGAAUUCGCAAGAACAUUUAACCACUUGAAAGUACGUGAACGAAUCCUACUUUUAGAUUCAGUGCGAAAAGCCACGAGGCGAGUAGAAUAUUUUCUUGUUUCUACAUUUGAGUGGGAUCUCCUUUACUUGUUUUCUACUCGCUGCUGCACUGCAGCACUUAUUUCAAGCGGAUCAGCCACCACAAUGGCGGAAGGUGGAUUGUCAUCCACUGACGGAAAUCCGCUAGAAAUAAAUCUCCCCGUAACUACAAACGACAACAACAAUAACGAUGAAGCUUAUAAAUAUAACGUUUGCAAAUACCAGAUUAGCCGCAGCGUUGUUUCAGCUGCCACAAGAGGUUUUGAAAGGUGGUUGAAUCGGGAGAAAUCAUCGAAAGUGAGUGAUUCAAAAUCUGAGUCGAGACAGACGCGAGCUCAUUCUUCAUCUCCCGAGGGAAGUCCGCGAGUCCAAAACGAGAGUGACGGUUGGUUCGAUAUAAAAAAUCGCUUCGGUUUCACUCAGUCUACCAGAGUAAAGUCGAUGCCGGAAGGCAGCUGCGGCACGAUGGACGAUCCAAAACCAUCCGCCUCGUGCGAAACGUCGAAAAAAGUGGAACCCGAUUGCCGGAAGGUGGACGAUCUUUGCAAAAAGUUUUGGAACGUUGGUUGUUCAAAAAAAAAAUCGGACAACAGUGAAAAAGUUGUCGAUAACGAAGAGAGCCUGGACGACUUGGCGAAGAACGCCUGUAGAACCGAGAAGAAAAUGCAAACCUGCUGCAUUUCAGACGCGGCUCCCGAUCCGCACAAUCCCGACCAAGUCGACGACGUGUUAAAAAAAACGGAGAGCUGCGUCGAUGCUCUGAUUAAAAUGGAAACGACCUUCAAAGAAGCUAGGAAAUUGUUACACUCCGCUAUGGCCAAGGGAGAGCUCCAACCCUGCAGUGAUGCUGCGAAGCCCUGCUCGACGAAGAAGAACAAGUCGACGACACCCAAGAUAUUACGUUCAGCACCGCCACUGCCCGACUGUAAAACAUCACAACCGCAAGACGAACAACGUUCAGGUGUGCCGUUUCCGCCGUCGCACAAGCUCACCGUCGCAGAGGUAUUCGACUCGCGGACAGGCAAACCACGACCCGACAUCCUGAAGCAACACUUCAUCCUCGAAGGAAGGAUCGACGAGGCGGCGGCGCUGCGCAUCGUUACCGACGGAGCGAGUCUUCUGCGUUCGGAAAGAACGAUGAUCGACAUAGAAGCCCCCGUUACCGUUUGCGGCGACAUCCACGGUCAAUUUUACGAUUUGAUGAAAUUAUUUGAAGUCGGAGGACCUCCUGCUUCGACGAAAUACCUAUUCCUCGGCGAUUACGUAGAUAGAGGUUACUUCAGUAUCGAGUGCGUAUUGUACCUGUGGGCAUUGAAACUUUGCCACCCCACCACACUAUUUCUUCUCAGAGGAAAUCACGAGUGCCGGCAUCUAACGGAAUACUUCACAUUCAAACAGGAGUGUAAAAUAAAAUACUCGGAAAGAGUAUACGACGCGUGUAUGGAUGCGUUCGAUUGUCUACCAUUGGCGGCGCUAAUGAAUCAACAGUUUCUCUGCGUCCACGGAGGUCUGUCACCGGAAAUUCACAAUCUAGAAGACAUACGCAAAUUGGACAGGUUCAAAGAACCACCGGCGUUCGGCCCGAUGUGCGAUCUACUCUGGUCGGAUCCCCUGGAAGAUUUUGGCAAUGAAAAGAACGCCGAACAUUUUUCACACAACAGCGUAAGGGGCUGCUCGUACUUUUACAGCUACGCGGCCUGCUGCGAUUUCCUCCAGAACAACAACCUGUUGAGUAUCAUAAGGGCGCACGAGGCGCAGGACGCGGGAUAUCGUAUGUACCGCAAAUCGCAGACGACGGGUUUUCCAUCCCUAAUAACAAUAUUCAGCGCCCCAAACUACCUGGACGUAUACAACAACAAAGCGGCUGUUCUGAAGUAUGAGAACAACGUUAUGAAUAUCAGGCAGUUCAAUUGCUCGCCACAUCCCUAUUGGUUACCAAAUUUCAUGGACGUAUUUACGUGGUCGUUGCCGUUCGUUGGCGAGAAAGUCACGGAAAUGCUGGUAAACGUUCUCAACAUUUGCUCGGACGACGAGCUGAUGAACGACGGCGACGACGCCCUGGAGGAAGAUGUAUAUUUCGUUGACAGUUCCAUAUCACAUAAACAUACUUUUCUCGUACGAUGAUCCGUGAUUGCCGGCUGGCUGGCUGGCUGUCGGCCAAAUCUUGUGCCAUUUGACGUUUAUGAUUUAUUUAAGUGUAGGCGAGGGAAAUGAAUAAACGAAACGAGAUCGUUUGAAAAUAUCGAAAAGGUUUAACCUGUAUAACGUGUAAUACACGUAGAAUCACGUGAAUAGGAAAUUGCACGCAUUGCGUAUAACUGUAAUAACUGGGAAUUUCCCAAGUUUCGAAAUCGAAUCUCGGAGGUGAAACUCGCGGGACGCGAUCGUUGAUCAAAAUUUGCGAUCCGUUGCGGUGUCGUUGUUAAAUUUAUUAUUUUUCUUUUUCAUCGAAAACUCGAUCCUCGAGAGUUUAAUUAACGGUCAUAAUUCUCGGCUCGGGUUGUAAAUACCGAUAAAACGCGAGUUAAUAAACUCGAGAAAACCCCGGGCAAUGAAAAUAAACCAGUCACCGACUGCGGCCAAUAAACCAUCACCCGUCAAUAUUUGAAUCACAGUCCUGCACGGGACGUUCUACCGUCGCAAACUUGCCGAAAGACCGAUUGUACUCUUUUAUAUUUCUGGCAAUUCACACUCACCGCCCUUCAGCAAAUUUACGCCUAAGUUAUAGUUUCACCCUUCGCCAAAGAUCAUAGAUACACAAUAAAUUCCACUUCCGGCUUUAUUCCACUCACGGUUUCAAUUUUAUCGCGAAAAAUAUUCGUCCGGUCCUCAAAUUUUACGACUUACAUAAUAUUACAUACGGUAUUGGCUAUGUACGAAAAAUUUUAUACGUUUUAUACGCGUUCGAUGCGUAAAAAGCAAUAAAAGUAGGAAUCACGCGUGUAUAAAAGUUGAACGGUAAGCAGCGGCACUCUAAAAAACCUCGACAAAUAAGAGAUGAAAUCACAGGUACUUAUAUCAUACACGUACAGAAUAUAAAUUCGGUGAUGUUGCAACGACUUUUGAAAAAUCCUCCAAUUUUUUACAAAUUGACGAUAAAAAUCAGUUAAACAAGAUCGGAGGCUCGAGUUUGUUUUUCGAAUUCGAUGAACACGGUUAUAGAUCAUGGGAAUGAACAAAUUACCGCACAUACGUACAACAGCUGUGACCGCGCGCGUGUUUUUCCAAUUUUUCGUUACUUUCGUACAGCUAUCUACGCGGGAGGACAUGAAAAUCGGUGUGCGAUGUGAAGGAUGCCGAUCGUGAAGCCAAGCCAGCCGGAAAAUGACGGUGUACACCUAUGUUAUAACAAUGAUUAUUGCGUUGAAACGGUGAGAAGCUAAUCUUCGCAAAGAAGUUAUAAGGAAUAAAAUCAGGGCGA